GGUCUGCCUCCCGCGGCGGGCCGGGUCUCCAGGGAGGACCUGAGUUUUCUUCACCCAUGGUCAGGGAAGCGCCAUCGCCCUGGCUUUGAGGCUGGGGCCUCCGGGGAGGUUCCGGUAGGGGCUUUGAAGAGGCCGCUGUUUUUGCAAGGCCGAGACGGCGGGCCCUGCGCAGGCCGCCCUAUUCCGCGCCCUCAGGGCGUCAGUAUCCGCCUGAGGCCGGAUACCCCCUCUGGGCCCGGAUGCCCCCGCUGGCCCCGGAGCAUCCUCGGCGCUGCCCUCCCAGAGCCCCGCAGAGGCUGAGGUGGCGCGGGGGCGGCCCCGGCUCCGCGAGAAGCGGCGGCAGCGAGGGCUGGAGGACCCGGGCUACGGGGCUCCGGGGCGUCUGGCCUGGUUGGGACUGAGCCCAUCCAGGGACUGGGACUCUGGGAUUCUGGUGUAGGUGGAUCCGGGGCAGGCUCAGGACCAAGUCCCUCUCCUUCCACCAAGGAGCGCCCAGAGGCCGGCGGGAGCUCCAGGUUCACCUCCUCCUCCUCCAGGAAAUCUCACUUCCAACUGGAUGUCUGGAUGAACUACUGAAAGCUGCUGAGUGUCCUGCAGCAGCUUGACUACCACACAAAUGAAUCCACUCAAAUGUUGGCAAGUGGAGCAGAGUCCCAGGACAGGUACAGAAACACCCCCAGUUCAAGGAUCUUCACACCUGGAUUUAGGCCUACUCCUGCAACUACCCCAGAACCUGGAAUUUAUAUGUUCAACAUGGAGCCAUCCCAGCCAUGACAACAGAGAAUGUACCACUCUCACGUGAGUAAGAGGGGUAGGCAGUGCUCCUGUAUCACCAGCCCUUAAUGAGACCCUGAGGAAACCACAUCAUGGAGAUCAGCCCUUCUCUCCUGGGGUAAUAUCGAGUUCCAGAAGGCAAGGAUUAACAUUCAGAAAAAUAGGAAAAACAACCUGCAG
RNAcentral lists this long non-coding RNA (954 nucleotides) under Homo sapiens (human). RNAcentral's name for it is "HSALNT0132526". The record is from RNAcentral. Lineage: Eukaryota; Metazoa; Chordata; Mammalia; Primates; Hominidae.